This 468-nucleotide ribosomal RNA is filed under the name uncultured bacterium. RNAcentral describes it as "partial 16S ribosomal RNA". It matches the Rfam family "Bacterial small subunit ribosomal RNA", at positions 28 to 507 of the family's 1533-position model. The record is from RNAcentral.
GACGAACGCUGGCGGCGUGCUUAACACAUGCAAGUCGAACGGAAAGGCCCUGCUUUUGUGGGGUGCUCGAGUGGCGAACGGGAGAGUAACACGUGAGUAACCUGCCCAUGACUGUGGGAUAACUUCAGGAAACUGGGGCUAAUACCGGAUAGGAGCUCCUGCUGCAUGGUGGGGGUUGGAAAGUUUGGGCGGAUGGGGAUGGACUCGCGGCUUAUCAGCUUGUUGGUGGGGUAGUGGCUUAGCCAGGCAUCGACGGGUAGCCGGCCUGAGAGGGUGACCGGCCACAUUGGGACUGCGAUACGGCCCAGACUCCUACGGGAGGCAGCAGUGGGGAAUAUUGCACAAUGGGCGGAAGCCUGAUGCAGCAACGCCGCGUGCGUGAUGACGGCCUUCGGGUUGUAAACCGCUUUCGCCUGUGACGAAGCGUGAGUGACGGUAAUGGGUAAAGAAGCACCGGCUAACUACGUG